Molecule: ribosomal RNA, 257 nt
Filed under: uncultured bacterium
Lineage: Bacteria
Description: partial small subunit ribosomal RNA
Rfam family: Bacterial small subunit ribosomal RNA
Source: RNAcentral
AGGACGAACGCUGGCGGCGUGCUUAACACAUGCAAGUCGAACGGUAAGGCCCCUUCGGGGGUACACGAGUGGCGAACGGGUGAGUAACACGUGAGCAACCUGCCUCUGACAUUGGAAUAACAGUUGGAAACAGCUGCUAAUACCGGGUACGACCUGUCACCGCAUGGUGGUGGGUGGAAAGCCUUGGCGGUCAGAGAUGGGCUCGCGGCCUAUCAGCUAGUUGGUGAGGUAAUGGCUCACCAAGGCUUCGACGGGUA